RNAcentral lists this ribosomal RNA (440 nucleotides) under uncultured bacterium. RNAcentral describes it as "bacterial SSU rRNA". It matches the Rfam family "Bacterial small subunit ribosomal RNA", at positions 338 to 795 of the family's 1533-position model. The record is from RNAcentral.
CCUACGGGCGGCUGCAGUGGGGAAUAUUGCACAAUGGGCGAAAGCCUGAUGCAGCGACGCCGCGUGAGCGAAGAAGGCCUUCGGAUCGUAAAGCUCUGUCCGCUGGGAAGAAAGAUGACGGUACCAUUGGAGGAAACCCCGGCUAACUACGCGCCCGCAGCCGCGGUAAUACGUGGGGGGCGCGCGUUGUCCGGGAUGGCUGGGGGUAAAGGGUACGUAGGCGGCUAGAUAAGUAGGAUGUGAAAGGCAGAGGCUUAACCCGUGUAAGCAUUUGAAACUGUCUUACUUGAGUCAAGGAGAGGAAAGUGGAAUUCCUGGUGUAGCGGUGAAAUGCGUAGAUAUCAGGAGGAAUACCAGUGGCGAAGGCGGCUUUCUGGACUGAGACUGACGCUGAGGUACGAAAGCGUGGGGAGCAAACAGGAUUAGAUACCCCUGUAGUC